Molecule: small nuclear RNA, 100 nt
Filed under: Sciurus vulgaris (Eurasian red squirrel)
Lineage: Eukaryota; Metazoa; Chordata; Mammalia; Rodentia; Sciuridae
Source: RNAcentral
ACUUUUAAAAUCUUAAGUAUUCACUAAAAUUGGACACAGAAGAUUAGCAUGGCCCCUGUGAAAGGAUGACAUGCAUAUUUGUGAAGCGUUCCAUAUUUUU